RNAcentral lists this ribosomal RNA (497 nucleotides) under uncultured bacterium. RNAcentral describes it as "partial 16S ribosomal RNA". It matches the Rfam family "Bacterial small subunit ribosomal RNA", at positions 28 to 507 of the family's 1533-position model. The record is from RNAcentral.
GACGAACGCUGGCGGCGUGCCUAAUACAUGCCAGUAGAACGCUGAAGAGAGGAGCUUGCUCUUCUUGGAUGAGUUGCGAACGGGUGAGUAACGCGUAGGUAACCUGCCUUGUAGCGGGGGAUAACUAUUGGAAACGAUAGCUAAUACCGCAUAACAAUGGAUGACACAUGUCAUUUAUUUGAAAGGGGCAAUUGCUCCACUACAAGAUGGACCUGCGUUGUAUUAGCUAGUAGGUGAGGUAACGGCUCACCUAGGCGACGAUACAUAGCCGACCUGAGAGGGUGAUCGGCCACACUGGGACUGAGACACGGCCCAGACUCCUACGGGAGGCAGCAGGAGGGAAUCUUCGGCAAUGGGGGCAACCCUGACCGAGCAACGCCGCGUGAGUGAAGAAGGGUUUCGGAUCGUAAAGCUCUGUUGUAAGUCAAGAACGAGUGUGAGAGUGGAAAGUUCACACUGUGACGGUAGCUUACCAGAAAGGGACGGCUAACUACGUG